GAUGAACGCUAGCUACAGGCUUAACACAUGCAAGUCGAGGGGAAACGAUAUUGGAAGCUUGCUUCCGAUAGGCGUCGACCGGCGCACGGGUGAGUAACGCGUAUCCAACCUGCCCACCACUUGGGGAUAACCUUGCGAAAGUAAGACUAAUACCCAAUGACGUCCAUAGAAGACAUCUGAAAUGGAUUAAAGAUUUAUCGGUGAUGGAUGGGGAUGCGUCUGAUUAGCUUGUUGGCGGGGUAACGGCCCACCAAGGCGACGAUCAGUAGGGGUUCGGAGAGGAAGGUCCCCCACAGUGGAACUGAGACACGGUCCAAACUCCUACGGGAGGCAGCAGUGAGGAAUAUUGGUCAAGGGGCGAGAGCCUGAACCAGCCAAGUAGCGUACAGGAUGACGGCCCUAUGGGUUGUAAACUGCUUUUAUAAGGGAAUAAAGUGAGCCUCGUGAGGCUUUUUGCAUGUACCUUAUGAAUAAGGACCGGCUAAUUCCGUGCCAGCCGCCGCCGUAA
RNAcentral lists this ribosomal RNA (508 nucleotides) under uncultured bacterium. RNAcentral's name for it is "partial 16S ribosomal RNA". It matches the Rfam family "Bacterial small subunit ribosomal RNA", at positions 28 to 523 of the family's 1533-position model. The record is from RNAcentral.